UAAUAAUAAUAAUAAUACAUUUAAUUUAACCCUCUCAGGCUCAAAAUACCUUUUGAUAAAAAGACGAACAACUACGUCCUUCAGGGGUACUUCUGUGUUAAAAAAAGCUCAUGAAAUACGUAUGUGGAGUAACCAGGUAGGUAGGUUUUAACCUUGCAAAUCUGCAACGCCUGCCUCCAGAGGGUUAAAAGCGCCUUUCAGGACAUCCAAGGUCAUUUCACAAGUUGGGGAGCAGCCAAAAUGGUGAAGGAGUAACUCAUCUGGUGAGCUCUCACUGAUUUAUUCAUUUUAAAAAGUUAUUUUUUGUUGAUUCUUUUGAGGCAAAACUCCAUGCCAGGAAGUUUCUUGUGGAAACAAUAAGUCUUUACUGACUGUCAAAGGGGAUUCUACAGCUGGAAAAAGAACCACUGGUAGACCAAUCCCAUUGAGCAGGAAAGCAGAUUAGUCAAUUCAGUUCAGUUUAUGUAUCUAAAGCCAAAUCACAAAGAGGCGUAUCAAGGCACAUGUCACAAUCUAUUGUAGCAUAAAACAUUACUAUUAAGAUUGCGCAGAGAUUCUUGCCCACGCACAUACCUGUGGCCAGCCUCUUUAUGGUGGCUCAUUGGUCUCAGUCUUCCCAGACUACACUUCAAAUGUGGCCAGGGCCUGAGCCUCGUUAGCUGAUGUGAGGAGGCCUCUUUGCGGUUAACAGGAUGUGGUACGUUCUGCUUUUACUUGCAGGGCUCUGUGACACCCGUGAUGGACUGGAUUAAAUAUCCCUAGACUCUGAAGCUGCCAUAGAACACUUAAAGAAAAACAUUGCCCUCAAAUCGGACACUUAAACGCUUUGGAGCUGCUGUCUGCACGGUGCACAUGAUGUAUAGGUUAGGCUGUGUUAUGACAUUCUAUUUAGGUUUGAUGGGACCUUUACAGUGAUUGUGGUCCAUGUGAUGUUCUUGUUGGAUGCUGAAGCGGUUUUUGCUAAGGGCCUGAUAGUAGACUGAAUUUGUGCAUUGCCGUGAGAUGGUGUAAAGAUUUGCUGUUUAACCUCAGAUUGUUUUUGUCUUAUUUUCAUUGGGAUUUGCUGGGAGCCUGGGUGACUGUGGCUGGGACUUGGUUCCUCUGUGUAACCACAUAGAUGUGUGGAAUUUUUGGUUGGGAGAAUCUGUUAUCUCCAGUUGUUGUUAGAUAUGUUUGGGAAUUGGAGGUGUUUUUUCAGGGGAAGAUUAUUGUUUCUGGGGUUCGGGUUAGGGUUCGGGUUAGUUAAAUCCCUUAACAAUCCUUUAAAAUUGGCAAGGGCUCAUUAAAAAUGACUUAAAUCAGAUAUUGCCUUUUUACAGGAGACAUAUUUGUUCAGUAGAUGAUUCUCGUUUUAAGAAAAAACAAGAACAUGUGAAGUACCACAUGUUAGAAUAGGACAUCCUUAGCAUCAUCAAUUCUUUGUCUGAUCCCGUUAAAGAGCAAAUUGCAGGUUAGAGACUCCCAUGAACCAAUGUUUAGAGAAACAUAAUAGAAACUCGUUUUAAACCUUUUUUACACAAACAUAAAUUAUUUAGGCUUUUAGAGUCAUUUUUGUGAGAAAGUUUUUUAUUUAUUUUUUGGCCAAACCAAGUGACGUCAUCUGAGGGAGUCCUGUUAGCUUAAUCCAGAGAAAAAUAUAGAUUAUAAUGCCGGCUCUGACACAGAGGAAACUUUAAAUGUUUACAAUUAUACUCAUGAUGGACCCAAACCAUAAAGUUAUGAGUUUGCUGCACGCCCAAGAGGGCAGAGACAAACCAGAGUGAGAAACCAUCGACCAAAGCAGAUAGAUUAAGGAGGAGCAGUAGCGGGGGAGCAGCAAGUGUCUGGUGAGCGUGUUGGGGAGCAGCAGCUGCAGCUAAUUGCCAUCAGCCUGGCCAGAGGAUUUAAGGAGCGGUGCUGCCACACCUCAUCGCCGGUUGAUACUCUACUGUUGGCCCUGGAUUCCCUCCAUCCGCAUGAGGUGUGUUUUAUCACAGCGUCGUUCAGCUUCCCUGGCCUCCUGCUCUCCACCGCUCACCUGCCUUCCUGGACCCAGCAUCUUCUCCAGCGACCAUCUCCUCCCAGCAUCAACCUGACUUGCCUCUCCCUCCUGCCCCUCGUCCUGCUCAACUCAAGUCGGAGUUGCCUCGUUUCCUGUCCCGUUUGGAUCAGCGCCCUUAGUUUUUGCUUUGUUUCUUUCUAAAAUAAAGAUAUUUUAUUAUCAUCUCUUACCUUA
This is a non-coding RNA of Nothobranchius furzeri (turquoise killifish), 2215 nucleotides long. NCBI's taxonomy places the organism in Eukaryota, Metazoa, Chordata, Actinopteri, Cyprinodontiformes, Nothobranchiidae. The record is from RefSeq and is a predicted model, not a curated record.